This 276-nucleotide ribosomal RNA is filed under the name uncultured bacterium. RNAcentral's name for it is "partial small subunit ribosomal RNA". It matches the Rfam family "Bacterial small subunit ribosomal RNA", at positions 26 to 285 of the family's 1533-position model. The record is from RNAcentral.
AGAAUCAACGCUGGCGGCGUGCCUCAGACAUGCAAGUCGAACGAGAAAGUUCCCUUCGGGGAGCGAGUAAAGUGGCGCACGGGUGAGUAACACGUAGGUAAUCUACCUUCGGGUGGGGAAUAACCCAGGGAAACUUGGGCUAACACCGCAUAAUGCAGCGGCACCACAUGGUGACAGUUGUUAAAGCGGGGGAUUUUCGGACCUCGCGCCUGAAGAGGAGCCUGCGGCGGAUUAGCUAGUUGGUAGGGUAACGGCUUACCAAGGCGACGAUCCGUA